RNAcentral lists this long non-coding RNA (204 nucleotides) under Helianthus annuus (common sunflower). RNAcentral's name for it is "sRNA HanXRQr2_Chr03g0102671". The record is from RNAcentral. Lineage: Eukaryota; Viridiplantae; Streptophyta; Magnoliopsida; Asterales; Asteraceae.
UCUUGAAUCUCUGCACUCCAGUUGAAUCCACGAAUUGCGUCAUACACACCUGCAUAAUUUCGAGUCCACAGCUGUUGCCCGAUUUUCCAGAUGGCAGCCACCUCUGGACGACUCUCUUUGAUUGAAAGUGGUAUGGAUUUCCACAGAAACCGGGCGCUAUUUCUGUCAAUUGUGCUGGCUCUUGCUGCUGUUGUUGAAACUUGA